Molecule: transfer RNA, 75 nt
Filed under: Chthoniobacterales bacterium
Lineage: Bacteria; Pseudomonadati; Verrucomicrobiota; Spartobacteria; Chthoniobacterales
Description: tRNA-Thr
Source: RNAcentral
GCCGCCGAAGCAUAGAAAGCGAUGCGCGCCCCUGGUAUGGGCGGGAGCCGGGUGCAAGUCCUGGCGGUGGCUCCA